CAGUCGCCGCGGGAAUACGAAGGGUGCAAGCGUUACUCGGAAUUACUGGGCGUAAAGCGUGCGUAGGUGGUUGUUUAAGUCUGCUGUGAAAGCCCUGGGCUCAACCUGGGAAUUGCAGUGGAUACUGGGCAACUAGAGUAAGGUAGAGGAUAGUGGAAUUUCCGGUGUAGCAGUGAAAUGCGUAGAGAUCGGAAGGAACAUCUGUGGCGAAGGCGACUAUCUGGGCCAUUACUGACACUGAGGCACGAAAGCGUGGGGAGCAAACAGGAUUAGAUACCCCGGUAGUCCCUGUCUCUUAUAC
RNAcentral lists this ribosomal RNA (301 nucleotides) under uncultured bacterium. RNAcentral's name for it is "partial 16S ribosomal RNA". It matches the Rfam family "Bacterial small subunit ribosomal RNA", at positions 509 to 807 of the family's 1533-position model. The record is from RNAcentral.